This 437-nucleotide ribosomal RNA is filed under the name uncultured bacterium. Its description in RNAcentral is "bacterial SSU rRNA". It matches the Rfam family "Bacterial small subunit ribosomal RNA", at positions 957 to 1392 of the family's 1533-position model. The record is from RNAcentral.
UAACGCGAAGAACCUUACCAACACUUGACAUGUUCGUCGCGACUCUAAGAGAUUAGAGUUUUCGGUUCGGCCGGACGAAACACAGGUGCUGCAUGGCUGUCGUCAGCUCGUGUCGUGAGAUGUUGGGUUAAGUCCUGCAACGAGCGCAACCCUCACUUUUAGUUGCCAUCAUUAAGUUGGGCACUCUGAAAGAACUGCCAGUGAUAAGCUGGAGGAAGGUGGGGAUGACGUCAAGCCCUCAUGGCCCUUACGUGUUGGGCUACACACGUGCUACAAUGGUAUUUACAACAGGAAGCAAAACCGCGAGGUUAAGCAAAUCCCUAAAAGAUACCUCAGUUCGGAUUGCACUCUGCAACUCGAGUGCAUGAAGCUGGAAUUACUAGUAAUCGUGGAUCAGCGUGCCACGGUGAAUGCGUUCCCGGGUCUUGUACACACCG